GAAUGUAAGGGCGAUCUGGCUGUGACAUCUGUCACCCCAUUAAUCGCCAGGGUUGAUUUGGCUGAUCUGGCUGCCUACUCGGGUGUCCCCCUUCCUCCCUCAUGGCUCCAUGUGUGUCCCUCCCAAAGCUGCAUGCUCAGUCUAAGAGGAUGGCUGUCUCCGAAUAGAGACGGAUCGGUCUUCAGUCAAGGGUAUAGGAGGAGCUGCACUCCCCUGCUAGAACCUCCAAACAAGCUCUCAAGGUCCAUUUGUAGGAGAAUGUAGGGUAGUCAAGCUUCUAAGACUCCAAACACAUCCAAAUGAGGCACUGCAUGUGGUAAUAUGCCUUUCUUU
This 333-nucleotide small nuclear RNA is filed under the name Erinaceus europaeus (western European hedgehog). Its description in RNAcentral is "7SK RNA". It matches the Rfam family "7SK RNA". Rfam says of the family: 7SK was discovered as an abundant small nuclear RNA in the mid-70s but a possible function has only recently been suggested. Lineage: Eukaryota; Metazoa; Chordata; Mammalia; Eulipotyphla; Erinaceidae. The record is from Rfam by way of RNAcentral.